RNAcentral lists this non-coding RNA (111 nucleotides) under bovine gut metagenome. Its description in RNAcentral is "SAM riboswitch (S box leader)". It matches the Rfam family "SAM riboswitch aptamer (S box leader)". Rfam says of the family: The SAM riboswitch is found upstream of a number of genes which code for proteins involved in methionine or cysteine biosynthesis in Gram-positive bacteria. The SAM riboswitch acts at the level of transcription termination control. The predicted structure consists of a complex stem-loop region followed by a single stem loop terminator region. The record is from RNAcentral.
CUUAUCAAGAGUGGCGGAGGGACAGGCCCAAUGAUGCCCGGCAACCGGUGGGUGGCGACGCCCGCGAGGUGCCAAUUCCUGCGACCGGUGCGCUUCGGUCGAAAGAUGAGG